UACGGAGGAUCCAAGCGUUAUCCGGAUUUAUUGGGUUUAAAGGGUGCGUAGGUGGCCCUGUAAGUCAGUGGUGAAAUAUCUCAGCUUAACUGAGAGGGUGCCAUUGAUACUGCAGGGCUUGAGUACAGAUGAGGUAGGCGGAAUUGACGGUGUAGCGGUGAAAUGCAUAGAUAUCGUCAAGAACACCGAUAGCGAAGGCAGCUUACCAAGCUGUAACUGACACUGAGGCACGAAAGUGUGGGGAUCAAACAGG
Molecule: ribosomal RNA, 253 nt
Filed under: uncultured bacterium
Lineage: Bacteria
Description: partial 16S ribosomal RNA
Rfam family: Bacterial small subunit ribosomal RNA
Source: RNAcentral